UUUCUCUGAGCAAGCCGUGUCAGUGCCUCACCACCCUCAAAGAAGAUAAUUUCUUCCUAAUACCUAAAAUAAACCCACCCUCUUUCAGUUUGAAGCCUCCGCCCUUUGUCCUAUCACUACCUUUCCUUGUAAAAUAUUCCUCUCCAACUUUCUUGUAUCUUUCUUUUCCUAUGGGACCAGCCAUCAAUUCUCUUCCCAGUGCUUUUUUCCACAUCACCGUAUCAUGUCAUCUAACAUCCUCUUCACUGGUAACAUCCCAUCCCAUUCCAUUCCAUCCCAUCCCCCCGGAGUUGGGCUCACAGCCCCAGGGUCCCAUCCAAGCAGGGGUUUGUCACGCCCAGCCCCAAAUGUGAGGGCAACCCAGGUUCUUGUUAACAGAUCCCUUGGGGUGGAUUAGAGUGAAAGGACAUUGGAUGAUCAGUGUUUGUAAAGAUAUGUAUAUAGGUAGGGUUUAUUUUAGAACAAUUUGGUUGCAAAGGAAAGCAGGCAUGUAGCCGUUUUGCUUACUGUUAUCUACAGCAAUAUGUCAACAUGAAAACAUAAAAAUAUCACUCAAAAAUGUGCAAGGGAAAAGAAACAGAAAGAAACGGUAAGAGUAGAAACAUAUCACCACCCAUGGAUCUCGCGGCAAGACUCGAUUGUUGCCAUUUAGUGUCCCUGGGUCAAAGUGAUGAUCACAGUCUUGAUCUGUUCAGGGUGGGGAAAAAAGCCCGUCAAACACCAAGUCCGAAGGGUUCAAAUACACUCAGACUCCAGGCACCUCCCCUGGGCUUGAGUUUUCAGUCCUCUGGAGAAAGGCCUUAGAAAUGGGUCUGGGGGCACUUUGGGGGUCUUUGAUGGUUUGUGACACCUUCUGAGACAUGACAGCUGCCUCUCACAUCAGCGCAGUUGAGCCAGGAAUGCCCCAUCAGGAGGGAUGAAAACCCUCAGGACCUUUCCCAGGAGAAGGUGUGGGGGGAGUUUUACAGCUGAUUUAUGUCAGGGAGGGCAGCUGGCAUGAUGAAAAGCACCAUCCCACCUCACAGGAUCUGCCUCUUAUCGGCCUCAAAGCCCGGCUUGUAGCCCACGGUGGUGAUUGUUCAGCCCCUCUGGCUGAUGCAGCCCGGAGGUUUGCCAUCACACACCCAAAAACUCACCUCCUCCCCCUCUGGGGGUGCAAAGCACCCUGCCGCCUCCACAAAUGGGCCAUUGUUUUGAGUCAUUAACCAUUAACAUUUCAGUCUCUCGCAGGGCUGGCUGAUUGCAGGACCUGAUGCCUUCCCACCAGGCAUGAGUGGUAACCUUCCCCCGUGGACACUCUUGACACACCACGUCACACCUGAAAGGCAUCUUCUUCAUAAGCAUAUGGAGGUCUGGUAUGAAUACCAGAGUGGAAAGCUGCUACCUUCCGACAGAGCCACAUAUAAGGAAUGUCACGGUGAAAAGUUUUCAGGACACUCUGUGAGCUGGGCUGGCUCCAUCCUGCAGACAGAAGUUAUUCCAGCUUUCCAUGUGGACAGUCACAGCUGAGGAAGGGUUGGUUAUCUCUGAUGGACACGGCAGCUGGAGGAGGUGUCUGCAACCCGGGAUAACUGGCAACAGAAGCAAA
Onychostruthus taczanowskii (white-rumped snowfinch) is the source of this 1588-nucleotide long non-coding RNA. RefSeq lists it as uncharacterized. The record is from RefSeq and is a predicted model, not a curated record. NCBI's taxonomy places the organism in Eukaryota, Metazoa, Chordata, Aves, Passeriformes, Passeridae. The transcript has 3 exons.